RNAcentral lists this unclassified non-coding RNA (174 nucleotides) under Favolus acervatus. RNAcentral describes it as "partial ITS2". The record is from RNAcentral. Lineage: Eukaryota; Fungi; Basidiomycota; Agaricomycetes; Polyporales; Polyporaceae.
CAACCUAUCAGCCUUUGCGGGCUUGGUUAGGCUUGGAUAUUGGAGGACUAUCGUCGGCUUGUUUCAACGAGUCGGCCCCUCUCAAAUGCAUUAGCUUAGUCCCUUGCGGAUCGGCUCCCAGUGUGAUAGUUUAUCUACGCUGCGACCGUGAAGCGUCCUAUGGCGAGCUUCUAA